This 614-nucleotide ribosomal RNA is filed under the name Phoma herbarum. RNAcentral's name for it is "eukaryotic LSU rRNA". The stretch from base 143 to 295 matches the Rfam family "5.8S ribosomal RNA". The record is from RNAcentral. Lineage: Eukaryota; Fungi; Ascomycota; Dothideomycetes; Pleosporales; Didymellaceae.
UUACCUAGAGUUUGUGGGCUUUGCCCACUGUCUCUUACCCAUGUCUUUUGAGUACUUACGUUUCCUCGGUGGGCUCGCCCGCCGGUUGGACAAUUUAAACCAUUUGCAGUUGCAAUCAGCGUCUGAAAAACAUAAUAGUUACAACUUUCAACAACGGAUCUCUUGGUUCUGGCAUCGAUGAAGAACGCAGCGAAAUGCGAUAAGUAGUGUGAAUUGCAGAAUUCAGUGAAUCAUCGAAUCUUUGAACGCACAUUGCGCCCCUUGGUAUUCCAUGGGGCAUGCCAUUCGAGCGUCAUUUGUACCUUCAAGCUCUGCUUGGUGUUGGGUGUUUGUCUCGCCUUGCGCGUAGACUCGCCUUAAAACAAUUGGCAGCCGGCGUAUUGAUUUCGGAGCGCAGUACAUCUCGCGCUUUGCACUCAUAACGACGACGUCCAAAAGUACUUUUUACACUCUUGACCUCGGAUCAGGUAGGGAUACCCGCUGAACUUAAGCAUAUCAAUAAGCGGAGGACCUCCGCUUAUUGAUAUGCCUUGUUACGACUUUUACUUCCAUCCUCCGCUUAUUGAUAUGCCUUGUUACGACUUUUACUUCCAUCCUCCGCUUAUUGAUAUGCC